Molecule: ribosomal RNA, 164 nt
Filed under: uncultured bacterium
Lineage: Bacteria
Description: partial 16S rRNA
Rfam family: Bacterial small subunit ribosomal RNA
Source: RNAcentral
UAGGGAAUCUUCGGCAAUAGACGAAAGUCUGACCGAGCAACGCCGCGUGAGUGAAGAAGGUUUUCGGAUCGUAAAACUCUGUUGGUAGAGAAGAACGUUGGUGAGAGUGGAAAGCUCAUCAAGUGACGGUAACUACCCAGAAAGGGACGGCUAACUACGUGCCA